Molecule: ribosomal RNA, 253 nt
Filed under: uncultured bacterium
Lineage: Bacteria
Description: partial 16S ribosomal RNA
Rfam family: Bacterial small subunit ribosomal RNA
Source: RNAcentral
UACAGAGGGGGCAAGCGUUAUUCGGAAUUAUUGGGCGUAAAGGGCGCGUAGGCGGCCUGGCAAGUGGAAGGUGAAAUCCCUCGGCUUAACCGAGGAACUGCCCUCCAAACUGCUUGGCUUGAGUCCGGGAGAGGUGAGUGGAAUUCCCAGUGUAGCGGUGAAAUGCGUAGAUAUUGGGAAGAACACCCGUGGCGAAGGCGGCUCUCUGGGACGGUACUGACGCUGAGACGCGAAAGCGUGGGGAGCGAACAGG